RNAcentral lists this ribosomal RNA (460 nucleotides) under uncultured bacterium. RNAcentral's name for it is "partial 16S ribosomal RNA". It matches the Rfam family "Bacterial small subunit ribosomal RNA", at positions 338 to 795 of the family's 1533-position model. The record is from RNAcentral.
CCUACGGGAGGCAGCAGUGAGGAAUCUUGGUCAAUGGGCGAGAGUCUGAACCAGCCAAGUAGCGUGAAGGAUGACUGCCCUCUGGGUUGUAAACUUCUUUUAUAUGGGAAUAAAAUGUUCCACGUGUGUGAUUUUGUAUGUACCAUAUGUAUACGGAUCGGCUCACUCCGUGCCAGCAGCCGCGGUACUACGGAGGGUGCGAGCGUUACGCGGACUUACUGGGCGUAAAGCGCUCGUAGGCGGUAUGUCAAGUCAAGGGUGAAAUCCCAGCGCUCAACGUGGGAACUGCAGUUGAAACUGGGAGACUGGAGUGUGUGAGAGGAGAGUGGAAUUCCAGGUGUAGGAGUGAAAUCCGUAGAUAUAUGGAGGAACAUCAGUGGCGAAGGCGACUAUCUGGAACAUAACUGACGCUGAGGAGCGAAAGCGUGGGUAGCAAACAGGAUUAGAUACCCUGGUAGUC